RNAcentral lists this unclassified non-coding RNA (299 nucleotides) under uncultured Sebacinales. Its description in RNAcentral is "sequence contains ITS2". The record is from RNAcentral. Lineage: Eukaryota; Fungi; Basidiomycota; Agaricomycetes; Sebacinales.
AACGCACCUUGCACCCUUUGGUAUUCCGAAGGGUACACCCGUUUGAGUGUCAUUGUAAUCUCACUACAACUACUUUAUUGUUGUUUGUAUGUGGAUCUGGAUGUUGCCGUGUAACAAAUGGCUCGUCUGAAAUGCCUGAGUGUACCCUGCUUUGCGGCGUAUUCGGUGUGAUAAAUCUUCACCGGAGUUGACUUUCGGGUCGCGUCUGCUUAACCAUGGCUCUAUGCUUCCAACCGUCCUAACAAGACAACCUUUGACAAUUUGACCUCAAAUCGGGUGGGACUACCCGCUGAACUUAA